UGAUCCUAGAUAGUUUUCCCUUCAAGUCAA
This 30-nucleotide microRNA is filed under the name Vombatus ursinus (common wombat). RNAcentral's name for it is "miRNA (ENSVURG00010020164.1)". The record is from RNAcentral. Lineage: Eukaryota; Metazoa; Chordata; Mammalia; Diprotodontia; Vombatidae.